This 437-nucleotide ribosomal RNA is filed under the name uncultured bacterium. RNAcentral describes it as "partial 16S ribosomal RNA". It matches the Rfam family "Bacterial small subunit ribosomal RNA", at positions 368 to 795 of the family's 1533-position model. The record is from RNAcentral.
ACAAUGGGGGAAACCCUGAUGGUGCGACGCCGCGUGGGUGAUGAAGGUUUUCGGAUCGUAAAACCCUUUCAGCAGGGACGAAGGCGAGUGCGGUUAAUAUCCGCAAAUGUCAGACGGUACCUGCAGAAGAAGCUCCGGCUAACUCCGUGCCAGCAGCCGCGGUAAGACGGAGGGAGCAAGCGUUGUUCGGAUUUACUGGGUGUAAAGGGCGUCUAGGCGGGCUGAUUAGUCAGAUGUGAAAUCCUCCGGCUCAACCGGAGAACUGCAUUUGAUACUGUCAGCCUUGAGUACGGAAGAGGAAAGCGGAAUUCCUGGUGUAGCGGUGAAAUGCGUAGAUAUCAGGAAGAACACCGGUGGCGAAGGCGGCUUUCUGGUCCGUUACUGACGCUGAAGCGCGAAAGUGUGGGGAGCAAACAGGAUUAGAUACCCCGGUAGUC